UCUGACGGAGCAACGCCGCGUGAGUGAUGAAGGUUUUCGGAUCGUAAAACUCUGUUGUUAGGGAAGAACAAGUACCGUUCGAAUAGGGCGGUACCUUGACGGUACCUAACCAGAAAGCCACGGCUAACUACGUGCCAGCAGCCGCGGUAAUACGUAGGUGGCAAGCGUUGUCCGGAAUUAUUGGGCGUAAAGCGCGCGCAGGCGGUUUCUUAAGUCUGAUGUGAAAGCCCCCGGCUCAACCGGGGAGGGUCAUUGGAAACUGGGGAACUUGAGUGCAGAAGAGGAGAGUGGAAUUCCACGUGUAGCGGUGAAAUGCGUAGAGAUGUGGAGGAACACCAGUGGCGAAGGCGACUCUCUGGUCUGUAACUGACGCUGAGGCGCGAAAGCGUGGGGAGCGAACAGGAUUAGAUACCCUGGUAGUCCACGCCGUAAACGAUGAGUGCUAAGUGUUAGAGGGUUUCCGCCCUUUAGUGCUGCAGCAAACGCAUUAAGCACUCCGCCUGGGGAGUACGGUCGCAAGACUGAAACUCAAAGGAAUUGACGGGGGCCCGCACAAGCGGUGGAGCAUGUGGUUUAAUUCGAAGCACCGCGAAGAACCUUACCAGGUCUUGACAUCCUCUGACAACCCUAAA
This 632-nucleotide ribosomal RNA is filed under the name Bacillus licheniformis. Its description in RNAcentral is "bacterial SSU rRNA". It matches the Rfam family "Bacterial small subunit ribosomal RNA", at positions 382 to 1004 of the family's 1533-position model. Lineage: Bacteria; Bacillati; Bacillota; Bacilli; Caryophanales; Bacillaceae. The record is from RNAcentral.